GUCUAUGACCAUGCCACCCUGAACAAGCCCGAUCCUGUAUGAUCUCGGAAGCUAAGCAGAGUUGGGCCUGGUUAGUACUUGGAUGGGAGACCACCUAGGAAGACCAGGUGCUUGUAGGUG
Pteropus alecto (black flying fox) is the source of this 120-nucleotide non-coding RNA. NCBI's taxonomy places the organism in Eukaryota, Metazoa, Chordata, Mammalia, Chiroptera, Pteropodidae. The record is from Rfam.